This 254-nucleotide ribosomal RNA is filed under the name uncultured bacterium. Its description in RNAcentral is "partial 16S ribosomal RNA". It matches the Rfam family "Bacterial small subunit ribosomal RNA", at positions 523 to 776 of the family's 1533-position model. The record is from RNAcentral.
UGACGGAGGGUGCGAGCGUUAAUCGGAAUGACUGGGCGUAAAGGGCAUGUAGGCGGAUGCUUAAGUUAGGUGUGAAAGCCCUGGGCUCAACCUAGGAAUUGCACUUAAAACUGGUUAUCUGGAGUAUUGUAGAGGAAGGUAGAAUUCCACGUGUAGCGGUGAAAUGCGUAGAGAUGUGGAGGAAUACCGGUGGCGAAGGCGGCCUUCUGGACAGAUACUGACGCUGAGAUGCGAAAGCGUGGGGAGCGAACAGG